GUCAGGGUUGCCUAAUGGCUAAGGCAGUCGGCUGUAACCCGAUGACCAUUCGGUCACUGGUGGUUCGAGUCCAUCCUCUGACA
RNAcentral lists this transfer RNA (83 nucleotides) under Rickettsiaceae bacterium. RNAcentral's name for it is "tRNA-Tyr". It matches the Rfam family "tRNA". Rfam says of the family: Transfer RNA (tRNA) molecules are approximately 80 nucleotides in length. Their secondary structure includes four short double-helical elements and three loops (D, anti-codon, and T loops). Further hydrogen bonds mediate the characteristic L-shaped molecular structure. tRNAs have two regions of fundamental functional importance: the anti-codon, which is responsible for specific mRNA codon recognition, and the 3' end, to which the tRNAs corresponding amino acid is attached (by aminoacyl-tRNA synthetases). tRNAs cope with the degeneracy of the genetic code in two manners: having more than one tRNA (with a specific anti-codon) for a particular amino acid; and 'wobble' base-pairing, i.e. permitting non-standard base-pairing at the 3rd anti-codon position. The record is from RNAcentral. Lineage: Bacteria; Pseudomonadati; Pseudomonadota; Alphaproteobacteria; Rickettsiales; Rickettsiaceae.